CCCAAAUCUACUGGGGGAGACCAAAUUGUGGGAUUUCAUCCAGUAUCCUUAAUAGCCAAGCUUGAUAAAUCGAGGUAUCAAACGUUUCGGGCAGUCCGCAGUGAAAAAGAAAAUAGGGGUUUGUGCAAGGAAAGUUUGGGCAUGGAUUCGGGUAUUGAAAAUAGGGUUUUUCGGUUUGGAGUAGCUUCUAACGAUGAGUUCCAAGGACUGUCAGUUUUAUUACCAGCCAAAGGGGAUUCACAACGUCGCAAACCGCCUAAUGAGUUAGUAAAUCGCCAGUAGAUACUGUGGAUUUAGUGGCAGCUAUGGAGGGCAUAAUUUUUGGGUUGAAGCAUGGUCAUGUAACCAUGGAGAUUUUAGCUGAAAACCCAAAAAAUGAUGAACCGGUGGGUCAAUUAGAUUCGACUAACGCCAAGGUUAGCUGCUAACAGUUUUGUUGCUGCUAGGUUUCUCUUUUGUUAUUUUAUAUAUAGAUACAAAAAUCAUUUUUUGGAAUUGUCAAGGUGAGGGUCAUCCACGCUUCUGUAACUUUAUUUUUGAGUAUCGAAGGGAGAUUUAACCAGAGAUUAUUUGUCUAUUUGAAACCUGAACGGAUGGUGCAUGUGCUGACAGAAUUAUUUCUCAAAUCAGAAUGGCCCGAUCAUGUAGGAUUGAAGCUAAUGUUUUUAACGGUUGUAUUUGGAUCCUUUGGAAUGAGGUAGUUUCAAUUGAUAUUCUAGCUAUUCACCCUCAAAUGGUUCAUAUAAUGGUUUGUAGCGAGAAUGACUCUUAUAGUUUCCUUUGCACUACGGUUUAUGCUAGUCCACAGUAAAGGCAAAAGAAAGAUUUCUGGUAUAUUUUAGGUGUUAUGGCGAACUCGAUUUCUGAAUCGUGGCUAAUUGCUGGUGAUUUUAACUCGGUGUUAAAUGGGUCGAAAAGGGUUGGAAGUGCUUCUUAGACACGGCUUGGUUGCAAGUGGUUUCAGUCAUUCUUGUUUGACUAUAAGAUUUGGGAUUUGAGCUAUAGUGGCCCGCAAUUCACUUAGAGUUGAGGGAAUCUAUCUCAGCGUCUUGAGUAGGAAAUUUGUAACUUUGAAUGAGACUUCUUUGUGCCCAAUUAUGUUGUCCGUAAUCUUCAUAGACUAAAAUCAGAUCAUUAUCCUAUUUUGGUGUCUAGCUAGUUGGAUGCUUCAUGCCAAGUUAAAUGACCUUGUGAAGAAAACUUGGAGAUCUGAUGAUGGUAUUGUGAGGAAUUUAAAAUGUUUUCAGAAUGUGGUACAAGAUUGGAACAAAUGGGUUUAUAGAAAUAUCUUUAUUCGCAAGCGGAACCUUAUCUCGGAACUGAACAUGGUGCAAAAAAUUUUUAAUUUAUGGUCAUCGUGCACCUCCGAGAAUGUGAAUUACAAUUAAGACUUGAGGUUGAAGAAAUUUUUUACCCUGAGGAAUUACUAUGGUUCUAGAAAUCUAGAUCGAAUUGGCUUUCACAUGGCGACAGAAAUACAAGCUAUUUCCAUGGUCGUACUCUAGCAAGACGGAGGAGAAAUAAGAUUAAAGGUUUGACGAUUAAAAAUGAUGAAUGGUGUUUUGAUGAUGUUUCCUUGAAACAUCGUGUUGUGCAAUACUUCAAAGACUUGUUUGCAACUGAAUAUUCGAUCAAUGGUUCUCUUCCUAGCCAAGGUAAGUUCCCAUCGAUACCCAUGGCUGAUAUGUAAUGUUUAAAGCUUACUAUAAAUGAUGAUGAAAUUCGUAAAGCUAUUUUUAGCAUGGUACCCUUAAAGGCUCCCGGAAUUAACGGUUUCCAUGCUAAAUUCUAUUAGGCAAACUAGGACAUUGUUGGUGCCUCCAUUUGUUAUAUGGUUAGGCACAUCAUGGGAGGUGCUUGUUGAUCAUACGAUUAAUAAAAUGUUGAUUAUUUUAUUGCCAAAAUUUCAAGGGUCGAAGAGGAUUUCUUAGUUUAGGCUGAUUAGCCUAUGUACGGUGGUUUAUAAGAUUUUAAAGAAAAUGAUAGUUAACAGACUGAGGCAUUUGAUGAUGAAGCUCACUGAUCAGAACAAAGCUAGCUUUGUUGCAGGAAGGUAUAUUACAGAUAAUGUUGUGGUUGCUUAGGAAGUCGUUCACUCUAUGAUGUGUUCCAAGGGUCAGAAUUAUCGGAUGGCUUUGAAGAUCGAUUUAGAGAAGACUUAUGAUAGGAUCAUGUGGGAUUUUCUGGAAGACACAUUUUUGGAGGUGGGGCCUACCUAGAUUUCUGGUAUCAGUGAUUAAGAACUAUGUUUCGUCUGCAUCUUUCCAGAUUCUAUGGAAUGGUAGUAUCACGGAAAGUUUUUGCCUGAUGUGCGGUUUGAGACAAGGUGACCCACUAUCUCCAUACUUGUUUGUUCUUUGCAUGGAAAGACUGAGGCAUUUAAUUGAUGAGGCUGUAGGAUGUGGAUGUUGGUCUCCGAUCUUUCUUUCAAGAGGGGGUCCUGUACUUUCUCACCUAUUUUUCGCUGACGAUCUCAUUCUCUUCUAUGAAGCCAACUUGACUCAAGAACAGAUAGACUGGCUUGGAAAUGGAUGUCUAUGGACAAGUUCUCAAGUGUUGUAACCUACAGGAAUUUGUGUCAUCCUGUUUGUGGCGUUGGUUCUUCUUGUUGGAAAUUAAUUUGGAAAGCUAAAGUGCCUCAAAGAGUUCGUGUAUUCCUUUGGACCUUUUGCCAGGACAGAUUAUUGACUAAUGGCAAGAGAACAAGGAGACAAAUGUCUAAUGAAGGACACUGUCCAAGAUGUGGAGCAGUGUUGGAAUCAGGUCUUCAUGCAAUUAGAGAUUGUCCUUUUUCAAGAAUGGUUUGGUUAUCUAUAAUUCCAGCAAGUGCUAAUUUAUCGUUCUUUUCUAUGUUACUUAAUGAUUGGUUGAAGUGGAACUUAAAAAGCACAAAAUGAUGGGGGUCUAAGAAUUUUGAGUGGCAUUCCUUAUACUCGAUUUUAAGUUGGCUUCUGUGGAAAGAUCGUAAUUUUUUUAUCUUUGCUAAUGGCUAUAACUGUGUGGAAAAAAUUGUUGAUACAAGUGUUGUAUGAGAUUGGCUGACUGCAAUCGAAUCCUUCGGUAUCAAAGACUUACUAGUCAUCGCCUGGGAUUGGCUGGGAUGGAGUUUUUCUGAUAUUAAUAAUUGGGCGUCGGCAGGGGGUGUAUUCAGAGAUGUGAAUGCAAAAUGGUUAUGCGGGUUUUCCAUGGUGGUGAUUUUAGAUUGAAGCAUGUGCCAUUUAUGAAGGCCUAAGUAUAGCAUGGGAAAAGGGAUUCAGACAAGUAGAGCUUGAAUGUGAUAAUGCACUUUUAGUGGAGACCUUGAAAGGAGCUGGAGCUGAUUCAAGUAAAGUUGGUUGAAUUGGCUGCCUCCUUAAGCGUAAUUGGAGAACGCAAAAUUCGGAUGUUGAUCUUAUGACUAAGUCGACAAAUGAUGAAGUAUCAAAGCUAUUGUUAUUACAAGGAGCUUUGCAAGUAUAACGGGUUGAUUGUUAUUGUAUUCGCAAAAAAAAAUGUUUGACCAUUAGAGCCAAAGCUAUUUGGAUGAGUGAGUUAAAACUAAAAUUAAAAAAUCAUGACCAAAACAACGAUUUAAUCUUUUA
This is a long non-coding RNA of Gossypium raimondii (Peruvian cotton), 3581 nucleotides long. RefSeq lists it as uncharacterized. The record is from RefSeq and is a predicted model, not a curated record. Lineage: Eukaryota; Viridiplantae; Streptophyta; Magnoliopsida; Malvales; Malvaceae. The transcript has 2 exons.